AGGGUCGCUGGGAAAACUAAGCCUUACUGUCCAUCUUGCCUUCAGGAUAAUGUGAAAUAUGGCCUAAUUUUUGAAGUUUUUUUCUUAGAAAUUUUACUGAAUCCAAAAUAAAACAAGAAGAUCAUGAGUCCAGAAUUCUCUUUUCUCAACACUAGAUGGCAGUAGAGUUAAAGAAAAAAAUCCCAGCAGUUCUUUGUACAGGGAUUUGGUGAUUUUUCCCAUAAAGCUGCGAUGAGGAUGAACUCAGAGCAAAAUCUAUCUAGAAUGUGAAAUAAUACCUGUGGCUGAAAAGAAGCUCUUUUGACCCAGGAUCCUGGUCCUCUGCAUAACAGUCAAGACCAUUCUCAUUUGCCUGAAAGUGUUUUAGAGAAGAAAGAGAAAUUCAGGACCAAUCAGCAAUUCCCUUUUCCACUCUUAUGAAGAAAGAAAAAGGAUUUGUGUUAUUUGAGAUUUAAGUUACUUCCUUUUUUCCUAUGACAGGUUUUGGUAAAUGCCCAGCUCCAAUAAUACGUUAACAU
Molecule: long non-coding RNA, 518 nt
Filed under: Homo sapiens (human)
Lineage: Eukaryota; Metazoa; Chordata; Mammalia; Primates; Hominidae
Description: HSALNT0353337
Source: RNAcentral